This 713-nucleotide ribosomal RNA is filed under the name uncultured bacterium. RNAcentral describes it as "partial 16S ribosomal RNA". The record is from RNAcentral.
AGGGGGUGAAAAGCGCAUAGGUAACGUGCCCCGUCGCGGGAUAAAAACAUGUGGAUGAGAAAGCUUAAACCGCAUAAAAUUUUAUGGCGCGUGACUUUUAUUUGAAAGGGGCCUGUGCCUCACUACCAAAGGGACGUGCCUUGUUUCAGCUAGUUGGAGAGAAGGUGUCUCCCCCCCGACAAGGCAAUGACCCCCCGAGAGGGUGAGAUGACCCCCUGUGUUGGUGACGACACACCCCCCCCACUCCUGGGGGAGGCAGGAGGGAAUUCUCCGCCGUGGGGGAGUCCCCGAACACACAACCCCCCGAGAGAAAAGAGUGAUUUUUUCGAAUUAACUCUUUUGUGAGAAAAAAAAAAGUGUGAGAGAGAAAAGUGCACACUGAGUGACUGUCUCACCCCAAAGAGAGGGGGCUAACUGCGUGCCCCGCCCGCGAUACAACGGCCGAGCGCAUUGUUGUUUUAAUUUGCGGGUAGUGAGGGCAGGCGCGGAGAUUUGUCUGUGAUGAUAGGAGGUGCGUCUUCCCCAUUCAGCUUUGUAUAUAGUUUCUGUCUAGUGUGAUGGGGAGAGAGUGAGUGUAAUUCCAUGUGCAGCGGUGUGUGAUAUGAUAGAUGAGACGAAGGCGGGAGAGGGUCUCUGUGUUGUGUUUUUGACUCUGAGUCUAAAGUGCGAGGCGCGAAUAGGAGAACAGACACCACUGACCCCCCGCCGCCACA